GUAACUGAGUUGUGCACUUCUUCAUGUAAUAAAAUUAAAAAUUUUUCUUUUAUUUUAUAUUACGUUACGACACGUUGUUUGUUAUAUAUAUUAUAUAUAAUUUACUGUUUUAUGGACUUAUAAGUAUUAGACUGUUGCAUUUUAAAAGGACACAUAAUUUAUUUUUAUAUAUAUAUAUAGGUGUUACUUAAUAAUGAAAACAGACUUAUUUGUAUCCUAACAGUCUAUACAACGUUAUAUAUAAUCUUUAAUUAAUGAAUUUAUUUUAUUURAAAUAAAUUUAUUUUUUAUUGGUCAGUAACGUAGAUUUUAAUUAUAUGAGUAAUAACAGGACCCGUCUUGAAACACGGACCAAGGAGUCUAGCAUAUGUGCAAGUCAUCGAGUCAAUUAUAUAGACUCAUAGACGUAAUUAACGUAAAGGUAAUAUAUAAUACAUAUAUUUAUAUAUAAAUUAUCAAAGGAAGAUAAGUAGUGUAAUAAUAGUAAAACUAUUUCGCAUUCCUGGG
This 507-nucleotide ribosomal RNA is filed under the name Eohomopterus sp. n. Wendy Moore DNA2000. RNAcentral's name for it is "eukaryotic LSU rRNA". Lineage: Eukaryota; Metazoa; Arthropoda; Insecta; Coleoptera; Carabidae. The record is from RNAcentral.